GGGGUCAUGGCGCAGUCGGUAGCGCGUAGGUCUCAUAAUCCUAAGGUCGUGAGUUCGAUCCUCACUGACCCCA
Molecule: transfer RNA, 73 nt
Organism: Naegleria gruberi
Lineage: Eukaryota; Heterolobosea; Eutetramitea; Acrasida; Naegleriidae
Rfam family: tRNA
About the family: Transfer RNA (tRNA) molecules are approximately 80 nucleotides in length. Their secondary structure includes four short double-helical elements and three loops (D, anti-codon, and T loops).
Source: Rfam